Molecule: transfer RNA, 91 nt
Filed under: Clostridium sp.
Lineage: Bacteria; Bacillati; Bacillota; Clostridia; Eubacteriales; Clostridiaceae
Also listed under: 18 other names
Description: tRNA-Ser
Rfam family: tRNA
About the family: Transfer RNA (tRNA) molecules are approximately 80 nucleotides in length. Their secondary structure includes four short double-helical elements and three loops (D, anti-codon, and T loops). Further hydrogen bonds mediate the characteristic L-shaped molecular structure. tRNAs have two regions of fundamental functional importance: the anti-codon, which is responsible for specific mRNA codon recognition, and the 3' end, to which the tRNAs corresponding amino acid is attached (by aminoacyl-tRNA synthetases). tRNAs cope with the degeneracy of the genetic code in two manners: having more than one tRNA (with a specific anti-codon) for a particular amino acid; and 'wobble' base-pairing, i.e. permitting non-standard base-pairing at the 3rd anti-codon position.
Source: RNAcentral
GGAGGGAUGGUCGAGUUGGUUUAAGGCACCGGUCUUGAAAACCGACGUACGUGAAAGCGUACCGUGGGUUCGAAUCCCACUUCCUCCACCA